This 794-nucleotide non-coding RNA is filed under the name Apolygus lucorum. The record is from RNAcentral. Lineage: Eukaryota; Metazoa; Arthropoda; Insecta; Hemiptera; Miridae.
UAAAUGGAUUAUCUUAUAUAUAAAAUAUGAUGUUUUAUUCAUGCAUAGUAAUUUAAUUUUAUUAAAUUAAUAUAUAUAAGUUUUUGCGGGAUUAAUUAUUAUUUAAAUAAUAUAUUAUCUUUUAAUCUUAGUUUUUAAUUUUAAUUAUUUAUGAAAAAAUUAAUUAUUUAUAAUAUAUUUUUAUAACAAAAAUUGUGCCAGCAGUUGCGGUUACACAAUUAUAAGUAUUAAAUUAUUUUGGUUUAUAUUAAAUUUAUAUUUAUAUAAUUACAUAAAUAUUUUUUUGGUGAAAUAUUAAUUGUUUUUAAUUUAUUUUGAAUUAUAAUAUAUGAAAGUUAUCUUUAGACUAGGAUUAGAUACCCUAUUAUUUUAACUGUAAAUUAAUAACCUAACCAUUAUUAGAUAUAAUCUUUACAUUUAAAGGAUUUGGCGGUAAUUUAGCUGUUCAGAGGAACCUGUCCUGUAAUUGAUAAUCCACAAUAAAUUUUACUUUUAUUUUGUUUAUAUAUCUCUAUCAUUGAAUGUCUUUUAAGGGUUAAAGAUUUUCUAGCUGAUUUUUUAGUCAAAAUGUUAGGUCAAGGUUUAAUAAUAUAAAAGUAGAGAUGGGUUACAUUAUUUAUAUAUGAGGAAAUAUAUAUGGAAAUAUAUUGGAAUUUGGAUUUGAUAGUAAAUUUUCUUAAAAAAGAAUUUUGAUACUAGCUCUAUAUUAUGCACACAUCGCCCGUCGCUCUCAAUAUAUAUUGAGAUAAGUCGUAACAAAGUAGAUCUAUUGGAAAAUGGAUCUAGAAUGAUUA